Long non-coding RNA from Nerophis ophidion (straightnose pipefish), 3679 nucleotides. RefSeq lists it as uncharacterized. The record is from RefSeq and is a predicted model, not a curated record. NCBI's taxonomy places the organism in Eukaryota, Metazoa, Chordata, Actinopteri, Syngnathiformes, Syngnathidae. The transcript is spliced from 3 exons.
GCGCACAAUGGAUCAGCUCUUUGCUGGAUAUCCAUGCUCAGUCAUUGUUGAUGACAUCAUCAUCGGAUGCCGGGAUGUGGCGGAGCACGAAACCAACCUAAAAAAAGUGGUUGAACGUGUGAAAGAAAUUAACUCUAACUCAACCCACAGAAAUGCAAGUUUCGACUUGACCAAGUAUGCUACGUUGGUCAUAUCUUCACAAGUAAAGGUUUGAAAGCUGACCCCUCCAAAACUGCUGCCAUUACAGACAUACAAGUCUCUACAGAUGUCACUUCACUUCAACGCUUCCUGGGAAUGGUCAACUAUCUUGGCAAGUACAUUCCAAACCCCAGUGACAUCGCAACACCAAUGAGGAAGCUGACUCACAAAGAGACCGCAUGGUGCUGGUUUCAACAACACCAAGAUGCUUGCCACCGCCUGAAAGCAUGUUUCUCCUUUCCACCAUUAUUGGUCUACUACGAUGUCAAAGAGCCAGUCACGCUGACCUGUGACGCGUCAUGCUAUGGACUAGGAGCUGCUUGCAUGCAAAAUGGAAGGUCAGUAGCCUUUGCAUCCCGCACCCUUACAGAAACAGAAACCUGAUACGCUCAAAUUGAGAAGGAGCGUCUAGCUGUUGUGUUUGCAUGCACCAAGUUCAGAGACUAUGUGUAUGGAUAGCCCACCAUAGUAGAAAGUGACCACCAACCUUUGGUGUCUAUCUUAAAGAAACCAAUUCACGAUGCCCCUGCCAGUCUUCAGAGGAUGCUGCUACGCCUGCAAAGCUAUGACAUAAGCUUAGACUACAAAAAAGGAAAGCACAUGUACUUAGCUGACACUCUUUAAAGAGCCCCUAAUGCAACAGACAGUGAGAGUCCAUCUAAAAGUGGUUCUUUCGACGCCAUGUCAGUAAACUACAUUUCUACAGUCCGCCUGGAAGAGCUCAAGAACCACACGGAGGAGGAUGAAGUAUUGCAGACUCUCAGUGCAGUUAUCCAGCGUGGAUGGCCUGCCAUUGAAGUUUUCUUCCCCUACAGAGACCAACUCACUGUGGAAGAUGGAAUUGUCAUGAAAGGGCAGAAAGCAGUCAUUCUACGGUCACUACAAAAAGAGUACAUUAAGAUUGCACACAAAGGUCACCCGGGCAUUGAAGCGACCAAACCCAGAGCAAGAGGUAUCAUCGUUUUGGCCGUCAAUGUCACGAGACUUAACUGAAGAAAUACUUUCUUGCACAGUGUGCAACAGCACAAAACCACAUCAGCAGAAAGAACCGUUUCAUCUACAUCCAGUUCCAGACCUUCUGUGGCCCACAGUUGCUACAGCCAUUUUGGAAUGGCGUGGACAACACUACCAGGUGCUAGUGGAUUCCUAUUCUGGAUGGUUUGAAGUUGACCUUCUACGAAACAUCACCGCAACAGCUGUAAUUUCCAAAUUGAAAAUACAUUUUUCAUUGCAUGGUACACCACACACACUGCUAUCUGACAAUGCAAGAUAGUACAAGUGUGAGCAAUUCAAGAAGUUUGCUGAGGAAUGGGACUUCAUCCACACCACCAGCAGCCCAGAGUUUCCCCAGUUGAAUGGACUCACGGAAAGAGCUGUCAGAAGUGCCAAGCAACUGAUGGAGAAAUCCCACCGGGACAAAACUGAUAUCUUCCUAAACCUCCCAGCAGCCCAGAGUUUCCCCAGUUGAAUGGACUCACGGAAAGAGCUGUCAGGAGUGCCAAGCAACUGAUGGAGAAAUCCCACCGGGACAAAACUGAUAUCUUCCUAAACCUCCUUAACCUCAGAAACAUUCCCCGAGAUGCAGACCUUGGUUCCCCUGCCGAACGUUUAAUGUCAAGACAAACGCGUGCAGCUAUCCCAGUGUGUACCAGACUACUACAGCCAACAGCAAAAGACUUAAGACAAGUACACGCUCGACUAGUCAACAAGAUAACUACGGUGAAACAUCACUACGCCAAGUCAAGUCUCCAACUGAGUCCCUUGGCAGAAGGGUAAGUGGUCGAAGUGGUAUGCAGACUCCUGCUGGGCAUGACCGACUUGGAAUAGUGGAAAAGUCGUGCGAAGAGCCACGUUCCAACAUCAUCCAGUCCGAUGGGAGAAGAUACAGGAGGAAUCGUCGCCACAUCCUCCCGGUUCAAGAAUGGACACCAACACGGUUACAAAACGACGAAGCAGACUCUCAAGGUAUGGUGGACAUACCGUGGUGGACUUAGUCCCUCCCACACCACUGAGAGAAGAGACAGUGAUUAUGCAAACGGAAAGUGCAUCACCAAUUCGACCUAGAUUCAGGACGCAGACUGACAGCUUACACAACACGUGCAGGUCGAGUUUGUAGACCCAAUCCAAAGAAUGUGCAGUAAGAAAAGAAAAAUGCACAUGUGGUGUAAGUUGAGAGAGAUAGUACUUUUUCUAGCUGCUCUGUUAUGUGUUUAGAUAUUUCAUACAAAUAGUGAGUUGUUUGUACUCACCAUACACAGUUAAGAGAUUUGCGUUCAGUUAAAUAUAGAUAUUCAUUUCACUUAUUUACUUUUGUUUUUUUUUAGAAGGACUCUUAACGAAAGGGAAGGAUGUAGAUCAUUUGGUAAAAUGAUUGUUUUGUUGUUGUAGUUUUGGAACACACCACCAGGGUGUGCCCAAUAAGAAAUCAGUGAUUACCCCUCUCUAUGCAGUGCGUGUAUACAAUUGCUGUCCUCCAAAGUCUUAAUUAAAGCCAAGUUCUUCAUGCAGCUCAGCAUGGUUUUUCCUACAGGACCUCAAAGGACUUGACAAAGACUGGGAUCAGAAGACACAUCUGGACAAGGAAAACCUCCCAAAGCAUGAACUGCUUCCUCGCCACCACCACCAAGCACACCUGCACAUGGAGCUGUGCUAGCCACAUGCUAGGCUAACAGAAAGAGGAGGUCACCUUGGCGAAGCGGCGGUGGUACUGAGCUAGCACGGCACCAUCGGGACAGUCCAGCUUGCGGAUGAUGUCAAAGCUCUGGUUGAGCUGCGUGAAGAUGUCCACCACCGAGCUGGAGAAGAGAGCGUGCUCUGAUGUGGACUGGAACUGUCGGAGAAGAAAAAUAAAAAAUAGAAUACAAAAAAGGAAAAAAAUAUGAGUCAACUUACUCCUUCUCUCUUGUCUCUUUCCAGUGCAGCAUGCAUGAAGUCCAUGGAAACAUCUUCGUUCUCCUUCAGCCAGCUCAGCACAAACGGCAGAAACCAUCUAAAAGAACCACAAUAAGGUGAAACAGAUCUAAAUGAUCUAGGAGUACCACCAGAAAGUGAAACAGAUCCAUUUGACCUAGAAGAACCACCAGAAGGUGAAACAGAUCCAUAUGAUCUAGAAGAACCACAAGAAGGUGAAACAGAUCCAUAUGAUCUACAAGAACCACCACAAGGUAAAACAGAGCCAUAUGAUCUACAAGAACCACAAGGUGAAACGGAUCCAGAUUAUCUAGAAAAAUCACGAGAAGGUGAAACAUUCUUAUGAUCUAGAACAGAUCCAUAUGAUCUAGAACAGGGGUCACCAACGCGGUGCCCGCGGGCACCAGGUAGCCUGUAAGGACCAGAUGAGUCGCCCGCUGGCCUGUUCUAAAAAUAGCUCAAAUAGCAGCACUUACCAGUGAGCUGCCUCUAUUUUUUUAAAUUGUAUUUAUUUAUUAGCAAGCUGGUCUCGCUUUGGUCGACAUUUUUAAUUCUAAGAGAGACAAAACUC